Non-coding RNA from Rhodanobacter sp., 365 nucleotides. NCBI's taxonomy places the organism in Bacteria, Pseudomonadati, Pseudomonadota, Gammaproteobacteria, Lysobacterales, Rhodanobacteraceae. The record is from Rfam.
GGAGUCGGCCGGACAGUCGCGUCGCACGCAAGUGCAUCGAGGAAAGUCCGGGCUCCACAGGGCAGAGUGCCAGGUAACUCCUGGGCGGCGUGAGCCGACGGCCAGUGCAACAGAGAGCAGACCGCCGAUGGCCCCGCAAGGGGAUCAGGUAAGGGUGAAAGGGUGCGGUAAGAGCGCACCGCGUACGGGGUCAACGUCGUACGGCACGGUAAACCCCACUCGGAGCAAGACCAAAUAGGGGGACGAUAACGCGGCCCGCGUUGUUCCCGGGUAGGUUGCUGGAGCCAGGCGGCGACGCCUGGCCGAGAGGAAUGACUGUCGCGUCGCAAGACGUACAGAACCCGGCUUACAGGCCGACUCCACCU